CUGGACUCACAGGCCUCCCUUCCACUCACAGCUUUUUGAAGUAGCUCUGUGGACUUACACCAGAGAGAUGAAAAGCUGAAAUCCAGCUGCCGUUCAUUCCUGCUUUGAGAUUAGGAAAGGUAGAGCUGAAUUUGGGCUAUGUUACUCAGAAGCUUUUCCCCAGCUGAUGGAGGCCUGCCCUGGAGGUGCUCAGCUCCAUCUCUGCUGUCCAGGCUGUGAGCAAGAACACCUAAGGAAAGCCAGCAGCCUCCUUCACUCUCCCUCCCCAUCCAUUCAGGUACAGGCCACAAGUCUGCAGCAUCUCACUACAAAAUCAGCACAGAGGCAGUGAUCACACCACGAUGAAAAAAAAAAAAAUAGAUUAAAAAGAGAGGAAAAAAUCAGCUGCUAGAACAAAAGCCAAACAGAAAUGUGUUCCUUAAAUUAUUAGUAGUGUAUUAGAGGUGAUUUAGCACUCACAUGGCCAUUCCUACAACUGCAGAGACCCUGCAACAUAUCUUAUUCCCUUUGUAAUGCGGAUGGCACUGAGAUUGCUCUCAUCUUCUGGGCUUAUAAGCAAAUAUAUUUAAUUUGGAUGUAAUACAGCCAGGAGGGUGAUUUCUCCAGAUGGCGAUUUAAGCAACAGAUCAAGAGAUGAAUUAAGCACCUCAUUCCUUCAGAUUUUAGGAGAUCUGCAGGUGCCAGGGAUCCUGCCUCCAGCUUGGGUCCAGGGUAAAUUUCGGCCAAGAUGAAGCCUCUUAUUGGCUGCAUGAAUUCUAGCCUCCUUCAUUAACAUGCCUCCUGGUAAAAGAGCCAUUCAGGAUGCCUGGAGGAGCCCAGAUUUCAAAUCUGAUGAAGUCUGCAGUUCUAUAAAUUCCCUCCCUCUUUUGUGCUGAUGGCAACGACUUUUAUAUGUAUUUUCAUGUCUUUCUCUCCAGAGAUAAAUUUUGUGGCCUGCCACUGAAUCUGCUUCCUAAAAUGUA
This 962-nucleotide long non-coding RNA is filed under the name Homo sapiens (human). RNAcentral's name for it is "HSALNT0402227". The record is from RNAcentral. Lineage: Eukaryota; Metazoa; Chordata; Mammalia; Primates; Hominidae.